GACGAACGCUGGCGGCGUGCUUAACACAUGCAAGUCGAACGAAGAGCGAUGGAUGCUUGCUUCUAUCAAUCUUAGUGGCGAACGGGUGAGUAACGCGUAAUCAACCUGCCCUUCAGAGGGGGACAACAGUUGGAAACGACUGCUAAUACCGCAUACGAUCUAACCUCGGCAUCGAGGAUAGAUGAAAGGUGGCCUCUACAUGUAAGCUAUCACUGAAGGAGGGGAUUGCGUCUGAUUAGCUAGUUGGAGGGGUAACGGCCCACCAAGGCGAUGAUCAGUAGCCGGUCUGAGAGGAGGACCGGCCACAUUGGGACUGAGACACGGCCCAGACUCCUACGGGAGGCAGCAGUGGGGAAUUUUCGACAAUGGGGGAAAGCCUGAGGGAGCAACGCCGCGUGGGGGAAGACGGCCUUGGGGUUGUAAAGCUCUUUUAUUAGGGAAGAAAGGCUUUUUGGGAAAAAGUGGGAGGGAUGAAGGUAACGGAAAAAAAAGCCCCGGCUAACUAAGGG
Molecule: ribosomal RNA, 509 nt
Filed under: uncultured bacterium
Lineage: Bacteria
Description: partial 16S ribosomal RNA
Rfam family: Bacterial small subunit ribosomal RNA
Source: RNAcentral